RNAcentral lists this ribosomal RNA (425 nucleotides) under uncultured bacterium. RNAcentral describes it as "bacterial SSU rRNA". It matches the Rfam family "Bacterial small subunit ribosomal RNA", at positions 355 to 785 of the family's 1533-position model. The record is from RNAcentral.
UCGAGAAUCUUCGGCAAUGGGCGCAAGCCUGACCGAGCGACGCCGCGUGGAGGAUGAAGGCCUCGGGUUGUAAACUCCUGUCGAGGGGGAAGAAGGUCGGGUAACCGGCUUGACUUAUCCCUGGAGGAAGCACGGGCUAAGUUCGUGCCAGCAGCCGCGGUAAGACGAACCGUGCGAACGUUGUUCGGAAUCACUGGGCUUAAAGGGCGCGUAGGCGGGCGAUCAAGUCAGAGGUGAAAUCCCACGGCUCAACCGUGGAAGUGCCCCUGAUACUGAUUGUCUCGAGGGAGGUAGGGGCGUGCGGAACUUCCGGUGGAGCGGUGAAAUGCGUAGAUAUCGGAAGGAACACCGAUGGCGAAAGCAGCGCGCUGGACCUCUACUGACGCUGAGGCGCGAAAGCCAGGGGAGCAAACGGGAUUAGAUAC